UCCUGCCAGUAUACACCCCUCCCAGGAGAGAAGGAUGACCCUAAUCUGUAUGCAGACAAUGUCCAAAAACUCAUGGCCAAGACCCUGGGCAUCCCGGCGACAGACUAUGUGAUGGAGGGGCGUGU
Molecule: non-coding RNA, 125 nt
Organism: Salvelinus sp. IW2-2015
Lineage: Eukaryota; Metazoa; Chordata; Actinopteri; Salmoniformes; Salmonidae
Source: RefSeq, a predicted model, not a curated record